AGGAAUUUUGCGCAAUGGGGGAAACCCUGACGCAGCAACGCCGCGUGAGUGAUGAAGGCUUUCGGGUCGUAAAGCUCUGUCAAGUGAGAAGAACCUGUCCUUUGCUAAUAUCACUGGGCACUGACGGUAUCAC
RNAcentral lists this ribosomal RNA (133 nucleotides) under uncultured bacterium. RNAcentral's name for it is "partial 16S ribosomal RNA". It matches the Rfam family "Bacterial small subunit ribosomal RNA", at positions 357 to 481 of the family's 1533-position model. The record is from RNAcentral.